This 756-nucleotide ribosomal RNA is filed under the name uncultured bacterium. RNAcentral describes it as "bacterial SSU rRNA". It matches the Rfam family "Bacterial small subunit ribosomal RNA", at positions 8 to 796 of the family's 1533-position model. The record is from RNAcentral.
AGAGUUUGAUCAUGGCUCAGAAUCAACGCUGGCGGCGCGCUUAACACAUGCAAGUCGAACGGGAAAGUGGAGCAAUCCAUGAGUACAGUGGCGUACGGGUGAGUAACACGUGGGUAAUCUACCUCUUAGUGGGGAAUAACCCUGGGAAACCGGGGCUAAUACCGCAUAAGCCUGAGAAGGGAAAGCAGCAAUGCGCUGAGAGAGGAGCCCGCGGCCGAUUAGCUAGUUGGUAGGGUAAAGGCCUACCAAGGCAGAGAUCGGUAGCCGGCCUGAGAGGGCACACGGCCACACUGGCACUGAAACACGGGCCAGACUCCUACGGGAGGCAGCAGUGGGGAAUCUUGCACAAUGGGGGCAACCCUGAUGCAGCGACACCGCGUGAGCGAUGAAGCCCUUCGGGGUGUAAAGCUCUUUCGUCAGGGAAGAUCAUGACGGUACCUGGAGAAGCAGCUGCGGCUAACUACGUGCCAGCAGCCGCGGUAAUACGUAGGCAGCGAGCGUUGUUCGGAGUUACUGGGCGUAAAGGGUGUGUAGGCGGUUCUUUAAGUUUGGUGUGAAAUCUCCCGGCUCAACCGGGAGGGUGCGCCGAAUACUGAGGGACUAGAGUGCGGGAGAGGAAAGUGGAAUUCCUGGUGUAGCGGUGAAAUGCGUAGAUAUCAGGAGGAACACCGGUGGUGUAGACGGCUUUCUGGACCGUAACUGACGCUGAGACACGAAAGCGUGGGUAGCAAACAGGAUUAGAUACCCUAGUAGUCC